Molecule: ribosomal RNA, 460 nt
Filed under: uncultured bacterium
Lineage: Bacteria
Description: partial 16S ribosomal RNA
Rfam family: Bacterial small subunit ribosomal RNA
Source: RNAcentral
CCUACGGGUGGCAGCAGUGAGGAAUAUUGGUCAAUGGGCGCGAGCCUGAACCAGCCAAGUAGCGUGAAGGAUGACUGCCCUACGGGUUGUAAACUUCUUUUAUAAAGGAAUAAAGUGAGGCACGUGUGCCUUUUUGUAUGUACUUUAUGAAUAAGGAUCGGCUAACUCCGUGCCAGCAGCCGCGGUAAUACGGAGGAUCCGAGCGUUAUCCGGGUUUAUUGGGUUUAAAGGGAGCGUAGAGGUGUUUUUAAGUCAGGUGUGAAAGUUUGCGGCUCAACCGUAAAAUUGCAAUUGAUACUGGCAGCCUUGAGUACAGUUGAGGUAGGCGGAAUUCGUUGUGUAGCGGUGAAAUGCUUAGAUAUCACGAAGAACUCCGAUUGCGAAGGCAGCUUACUAAACUGCCACUGACAUUGAUGCUCGAAAGUGUGGGUAUCAAACAGGAUUAGAUACCCGAGUAGUC